Molecule: ribosomal RNA, 484 nt
Filed under: uncultured bacterium
Lineage: Bacteria
Description: partial 16S ribosomal RNA
Rfam family: Bacterial small subunit ribosomal RNA
Source: RNAcentral
AUUGAACGCUGGCGGCAGGCCUAACACAUGCAAGUCGAGCGGAUGAAGGGAGCUUGCUCCUGGAUUCAGCGGCGGACGGGUGAGUAAUGCCUAUGAAUCUGCCUGGUAGUGGGGGAUAACGUCCGGAAACGGGCGCUAAUACCGCAUACGUCCUGAGGGAGAAAGUGGGGGAUCUUCGGACCUCACGCUAUCAGAUGAGCCUAGGUCGGAUUAGCUAGUUGGUGGGGUAAAGGCCUACCAAGGCGACCAUCCGUAACUGGUCUGAGAGGAUGAUCAGUCACACUGGAACUGAGACACGGUCCAGACUCCUACGGGAGGCAGCAGUGGGGAAUAUUGGACAAUGGGCGAAAGCCUGAUCCAGCAAUGCCGCGUGUGUGAAGAAGGUCUUCGGAUUGUAAAGCACUUUAAGUUGGGAGGAAGGGCAGUAAGUUAAUACCUUGCUGUUUUGACGUUACCAACAGAAUAAGCACCGGCUAACUUCGUG